AUGUGUCCGUACUUCGUGCUGGUCGCCGGCGUCGCCGCGCUCCUCGCCGUCACCUGCGUUGUCAUCAGGAAGGCUCGACGCAGCAGCAGCAGCAGCAGCAAGCUCCCGCCCUCGCCACCGUCGCGUCCGCUGGUCGGCCACUUGCACCUCAUGGGCAGCCUCCCACACCGCUCCUUGCGCGAGCUGCACGCUCGGUACGGCACCGACGGUGGGCUCCUGUUCCUGCGGCUCGGGCGCAGGCCGACGCUGGUGGUGUCCACGGCGGCGGCGGCGGCGGACCUGUACAAGAACCACGACCUCGCCUUCGCCUCCCGCGUGCCCAGCGUGCCGGUGGACAAGCUCACGUACGGCUGCAUGAACGUAUCGUUCGCGCCCUACGGCGACGCCUGGCGCCGCAGCAAGAAGAUGGCCGUCAUCCACCUCCUCUCCCCGCGCCGCGCCGACUCGUUCGGCCCUGUGCGCGCCGCCGAGGCGACCGCCCUUGUCGCGGGAGCCCGCCGCGCCGCGGAGGCCGGUGAGGCCGUGGAGCUGAGGGAGCUCCUGUACGCCUAUAGCAACUCCGUGGUCACCCGCGCGGCCGCCGGCGCCGCGGGGGCCACGGCGGAGAAGAUGAAAGAGCUUAUGGGGAACUCUGCGGCGUUCAUGUCGGGGCUCCAGGCGGAGGACGUGCUUCCUGGAGCGGCGGCCAAGAUGGUUAGGUGGGCGACGGGGCUGGAGAAGAGGAUCGACGUCCAGGUCGAAGCGUGGGACAAGUUCCUAUCCGAGAUAAUGGCCGAGCACCUUGAGAAGAAGCGUGACGACGGCGCACUGGGCGCAGAAGAGGACUUCUUGGACGUCUUGCUCCGGCUGAGGAAAGAAGGCACCGCCGGGCUCGAGCUCACCGACAAUCGCAUCAAAAGCAUCAUCAAGGACAUGAUCUUGGCCGGAACUGAGACGUCAUCUAUCACGCUGGAAUGGGUCAUGGCGGAGCUCAUCGGAAACCCGCGGGUAAUGGCCAAGCUGCAGGACGAGGUAACACGAAUCGCCAACGGCAAGCCGGCCAUCGAGGAAGACGAUUUGAGGAGGAUGGAGUACCUUAAGGCGGUGCUGAAGGAGGUCCUCCGGCUCCACCCGCCGGCGCCGCUCCUCGUCCCGCACGAGUCGACGACGGCGGCGGUCGUCCAGGGCUACGAGAUCCCCGCCAAGACGGCGCUAUUCAUCAACGCUUGGGCAAUCGCGAGGGAUCCCGCGGCGUGGGGCGACGCGGCGGAGGAGUUCCGGCCAGAGCGAUUCUUGGACGGCGCCAGCGCGACGGACGUGGACGUGCGGGGGAAUGACUACCAGCUCCUCCCGUUCGGCGCCGGCCGGCGAAUCUGCCCCGCCAUAAACUUCGCACUGCCGGUGCUGGAGAUCGCGGUCGCCAGCCUUGUGCGCCACUUCGACUGGGAGCUCCCCGCCGGGACGCGUCUGGACAUGGCCGAGACGCCGGGGCUGGUCACGCCGCCGCUGGUUCCACUGCGCCUCGUCCCCAAGUCAAGUGCAGGACGCAUGCUUAAUUAG
Molecule: ribosomal RNA, 1539 nt
Filed under: Triticum aestivum (bread wheat)
Lineage: Eukaryota; Viridiplantae; Streptophyta; Magnoliopsida; Poales; Poaceae
Description: partial small subunit ribosomal RNA
Source: RNAcentral